UACGUAGGUGGCAAGCGUUAUCCGGAAUUAUUGGGCGUAAAGCGCGCGCAGGCGGUUUCUUAAGUCUGAUGUGAAAGCCCACGGCUCAACCGUGGAGGGUCAUUGGAAACUGGGGAACUUGAGUGCAGAAGAGAAAAGCGGAAUUCCACGUGUAGCGGUGAAAUGCGUAGAGAUGUGGAGGAACACCAGUGGCGAAGGCGGCUUUUUGGUCUGUAACUGACGCUGAGGCGCGAAAGCGUGGGUAGCAAACAGG
RNAcentral lists this ribosomal RNA (253 nucleotides) under uncultured bacterium. Its description in RNAcentral is "partial 16S ribosomal RNA". It matches the Rfam family "Bacterial small subunit ribosomal RNA", at positions 524 to 776 of the family's 1533-position model. The record is from RNAcentral.